AAGCUCGUAGUUGAAUUUCGGGGUUAGUAGGUUGGUCAUGCCUCUGGUAUGUACUGGUCUCACUGAUUCCUCCUUCCUUAUGAACCGUAAUGCCAUUAAUUUGGUGUUGCGGGGAAUUUGGACUGUUACUUUGAAAAAAACUUAGAGUGUUUAAAGCAAGCUAACGCUUGAAUACAUUAGCAUGGAAUAAUGAAAUAGGACGUUCGAUCUUAUUUUGUUGGUUUCUAGGAUUGACGUAAUGAUUAAUAGGGAUAGUUGGG
RNAcentral lists this ribosomal RNA (260 nucleotides) under uncultured Glomus. RNAcentral's name for it is "partial 18S ribosomal RNA". It matches the Rfam family "Eukaryotic small subunit ribosomal RNA", at positions 624 to 886 of the family's 1831-position model. The record is from RNAcentral. Lineage: Eukaryota; Fungi; Glomeromycota; Glomeromycetes; Glomerales; Glomeraceae.